UUCGCGAGGACANGCAAUCCCAUAAACCGUGGCUCAGUUCAGAUCGUAGGCUGCAACUCGCCUACGUGAAGGCGGAAUCGCUAGUAAUCGCAGGUCAGCAUACUGCGGUGAAUACGUUCCCGGGCCUUGUACACACCGCCCGUCACACCAUGGAAGUUGGCCACGCCCGAAGCCGUUACUCCAACCCUUGUGGAGGAGGACGUCGAAGGUGGGGCUGAUGACUGGGGUGAAGUCGUAACAAGGUAUCCGUACCGGAAGGUGCGGAUGGAUCACCUCCUAACA
This 282-nucleotide ribosomal RNA is filed under the name uncultured Synechococcus sp. RNAcentral describes it as "partial 16S ribosomal RNA". It matches the Rfam family "Bacterial small subunit ribosomal RNA", at positions 1254 to 1533 of the family's 1533-position model. The record is from RNAcentral. Lineage: Bacteria; Bacillati; Cyanobacteriota; Cyanophyceae; Synechococcales; Synechococcaceae.